RNAcentral lists this long non-coding RNA (5141 nucleotides) under Drosophila melanogaster (fruit fly). RNAcentral's name for it is "long non-coding RNA:CR42862 (Dmel_CR42862)". Lineage: Eukaryota; Metazoa; Arthropoda; Insecta; Diptera; Drosophilidae. The record is from RNAcentral.
ACCCAGUUAAAAAGAGUGCGUUGUGUAGAACAGUCAUAAGCAGUCCGCUAAGAGAUUAGUAGCAACUACGAAGUGAAGUCGCAAACAUGUGCAAGGCUGUUGUAGAUUGUAAAGAAAGAAUGAAGGAUUGGAAGAGUGUGAGGAGACGCUGAGCAAACGGCCUUCAAAUCGAAAGUGGUGUGAGUCAUGGGCGCUGCCACCAUCUAUGCGAAAAGCCCACCAAGCAUUGGUCACGGAGCACACUCGUUUCCUGCUCCUCGCACGUUAAUGGCAACGAUGAUGAGGAACGGAACACAAACAAGAAACUACGUCGCAGUGGGUCACUGAAUGAAUCCGCGUCCCGGUAGCAACAAUAGUUCGACUAUGGCUGGUACUGGUAAAGAAGAAUCCCGAACACGAUCGUCGCAGUGACGAUGACGUUGCGUUGUAGAAUUACUGAGUGAGUCUCAACGUCUGUCCGAGUCCCCCCACGUCCACCGCCAGGCACUGAGUUCCGCAAACCAGCCGAUGGCCGAUUCUACACAGAUCGCCGGAGCAGGGAGCAGCAGCAGCAAACACCACCGAGUCUCCUCUGCAUGCCAAUGCCCAUGCAAUUCAGUCGCAGCGGACAGAACAUUGGGGACAAGGCGGAAUGCGCGCGGCAGCAGCUCCAGCUCGCAUCAGCUUACCUGCGUUUGAAGCUCUCGUGCUGUUGCCAACCACCGACAAUCACCACCUAUUCUGCAUUGAACGCUUCGCAGCUGCUGAUCACCACCCACCCAUCCGCACAGAUACACGGUAUUUGGUAUAUCAGCUGCGAACAAAAUAUUGCUUUUUAAACAAAAUUCCAGAGAAAAGAACAGCGGAGCAUUCAUUUAUCAUCGAAACGACAUUGAGGAACUGCUGUAAUCCUUUCGGGUGAACACCGUGUGCGAUUGUUAUUGUGAUAUACAAUUGAAAGGCAGUCGUCGAGUUUUUAUCUUUCUGUCUUCGCUCGGUACACUUUUCUGGACUUCUCUUUCACCGUUUGUGAUUUUGGCAAGCGAUUAUUGGACCCCUUUCCAUUCAAACUCCCCAUCUUCCUAAUCAAUAGGCUAGAUAAGGCCGCUUAAAUCUUUGUAGCUGCAUGUCACAGUUGAUCGGUUCCUGUGGGUGCUUUUGUUUGAUGGGAUUGCUUUGCGGUCUUCAAGUAUUCACGGUCUUGAGGGCUCCAGACGAGGAUCUUUCCAGCAAAUCUAUGCGCAAGCAGGCGUCAAAGAGUUUGUAGACUAGGCACGACCAUCACAUUUCGUUUUUUUUUUUUUUUUAUAGCGUUGCAUCGCAGUUGAUCGGUGCCUGCGGGCAUGUAUAAAUGGAAUCUAGCGAGGCGGAAGAUUGAGGUCUUCAAUUCUAUGGCCCCAAACAACGCUCCUGCGACAUCAAUCCCUCAAUUAGAAUAUGUGCAAAGAAGCAUAACUAAUCAACUGAACAAGCGUAAAAGCUAAGAUAUAUGCAACCGAUAUCUUUUCUUUCGUAUUUUGUAGAAAUACAUUUUCAUGGACUGAUAAUCUACAGAGAAUACCAACUCGGCGCUAUGGGCCCGCCCAAUACAUGUAAAUUUGUGAUUUUAUGUCCAAAAUAUUUUUUGUCUUGUAGCAUUAUGGGUGCAGUUGAAUGUACCUGCCCAUAAUUAAAGCCUGCAAAUCAAGAGUUAUUGUUAAACGCAAGAGGGAACAUUUUGAACAGACUCAAAUCUGUACACGGCCUCUGUAAGGAAUGUGCAAUCGAUACCCUUUUCUCUCGUAUUUUAUAGAAAUACAUGUUGUGGAACAGUUUAGAUGCUAUGGAAUUGUACCACGUAGUUGGACCACCACACAAAUUUAAUUAAAGUAUGGAGAAAAACUUUUUUCUGUUUUCAAGCUGUUCCCGUUGAAUGUGCCUGCCCACAUCUCAUCUAUAGCUUCUGAGUAAAUCCAACAGCGAACCGUCUAUUCUUGGGACUUUAACAGCGUUUGAGAAAUGGUUGGAUCUUUACAUUGCUCAUUUAAUACUAAAGUUAAUCUUCUUUCCCAAUACCUAGACGCUUAUUUAUGAAUUCAUUGCAGUGUUUAUACAGAGACAUCGGUUUCAAGCAACCAGUCUUAUCAAUCACAUAGUUGACAUACCAGUGCACAUUUGCCUGUAUUAAAACCAACCGAGAACAUGUAGCAAAAUUUCUUGAGGCAAUGGGAAUCAAAUGCCAACUUGAAAGCAAUAACACCAACACUAAGUCGUCGCAGUCCAACAUCCAUACUACACGGCGAAUUCGAAUUGAAGACGCUGGUCAGGUCUGAACCCAACUAGAACCCGCUUACACCUGUUUUUCAGCAAUUUUUCUGGUCAGGAUGUGGAUUAUCUGUCACAGAAACUUCGUUUGUCUUGAGCGUCGCUAAGAUUGGCCGUUUGACCCUCCCAAAAGUGAGAUUCUAAGCAGCCUUAAAUUUAUUUUACAAUUCUUACAGCGGUGCCGCACAGUUGAGUGUGCCUGUGGGCAUCGACUAAGCAAUAUUUGAACCGAAGGGCAGGGCAGUGGACCGUUCCGUUGAUGAUGAUGUGCACCGCUCCGAGCUGGCUAAGUCUACUGCUGUGCUGCUGCAAAUCGUUAAAGGGAACCCAAAACGAUGCAUCAAGUCCAUCCAGUUAGGCUUCUCUUCCAAAGCACAGCUCACCUGCGCUACAACGACAACCAAUUCAAUCGCACCUGCUUCUGCAAGCGAUCACAAUACGUCAAAUGAGCAUCGAGCACAGAAAGCAAGCAAACAACCAGGUUAAUGGCUUCCUCUGCUGACUAUGAAACUAUACGCCUUUACAUUGCAGCCAAGAAGCCUCUUAGUGCAUAUUCAACUACCAGCACAGAGCUUCUCAAUGACUGGAGUAAGCAUUGUUCUGACCGCAUCGGACCCUGACCGAGUCCGACUUGGGUGCCUCUGGUCGCAAGAUCUACAUUAGGACAGAGCCAGAAUAGGAGCGCUUAUCUAGCGCCAUGAUGUGCUGAGCUGAACCUAAGCACGUACUGCAUUGCACCGCACAGAUAUGUGCGUUCGGUCCACGCUAAAGGGAAUCAAAUGCGUUUGGACCGAGAGCCGAUACACCGCACCAUCACCAGUAUUCGCUGUGAAGUGAGCUGAUGUGUUGUCGUUGUUACAGGGCUGCUGCUGCAACUGCUCCACAGGUAUCCUCGCCUAGCGUCGGUAACUAUCAUUUGUCAAUUUUAGCGGCCGGCAGUGUACAUCAAACAUUGAAGUCCGGAGUCCGGAGUGGCAUGUAAUUAACGGCAGAUGUGAAACCAGCAAAUGGUGCUCAAGCAUUCCAUUUUAAAUCUGAAGAUUGUCAGCAGUAACAGUUAAAGACUAUCGACGCAGACUUGCAGAACGAAGCGCAGGAAGGACAAAGCACUUCGAUCACCAGCGGGUUGUCGUUUUACUUGCACUUUCCUUCCGUAGGUAGCCCAGAAUUCGAGAAAGCCCAUAUCCAUCGCAAAGGGAAACAAAUGCGAUUAGUGUUUGAAGACCAAGCUGGGUGUCCAAUGUGUCGCACCACGAUUAGCCAGUUGAGCCCAUAACUCCUGGCCCGCCGAUCAUCGUACCGCAAAAGGGAAUCAAAUGCGAGGUGGUACUACAGCAGUCGAGCUCCUCGUUGAGCUCCUGGUUUAAGUCGAACUCCCAACUGAGCUCCUGGUCGAGUUCUUCGCUUCAGCGUUUUUAUCGUAAAGGGAAUCCAACGCGAUGUACAGCGACAGCGGCAGGCAGGGUCACCCAAUACACAAAGAGUCAAUGCAGACAUCCGACUUCGCUGACGAUUGCAUCGGGACUGCAUUACCCUAGGAUAGACGGUCCGGUCUAGAAGUAGCAGCAAGAGUCAGUUAAAUAUCAGUACCGCUAUUAGCAGAAGAUUCAUGGCAGUAAGAUGAUGUGGAUGCACCGUACAUAGACGUUUCAAACUGCAGAGGAUCGUUUGACCCCCGAACCAAGGCAGGGAGACCAUACAUACACAGGCGGAGGCAGUGCUGACCCUCAAUACAUUCGAGUAUUUCAACACUCUACCUUUUACCUAUAUUUACUGGGCAUUCAAUCACCAAAUUCGCAUCCUGGGUCUAUUUGGAGCAUAUUAAGAACGAACACUACACGGCGUAGGAGCACCACACGAUUUGGUCAUUUUUAUUAUGAGAAGUCCUAAAAUCCUCCUCGGAUCAUUCCUCAUUAUCUGCAUUUGGAGCAACAAGUAGGCUGGAGGUAUCAUUUCUUCACUAAGCACCAUCGAUUUCACACUACUGGCUUGGGAUAGCACCUAAUUCUUUACGAGUUUCGGCACUGAUGACGACUUCAAUCCUUGUUUCAACCCGUACCCCUUCGAACCAAUAUAAAAGUUGGAUUGCAUACAGCUUUCGCUUCGCUACACACUGGUCGAUUCUUUUUCUUUGUGAGGACCCUUCGUGAGGAUAUUAGAUUUGUUGAAGAAUGAUUCUCUAACUUGGACUGCGGCGUGGGAUUCAGUCUAAUUUAACCAUCGACAGCGGCCUAGGAGUAAAUUUGGACAGCGGCGUGGGAUUUUCGGCUCUCAAAGACGACGGCGGCGGACGUACGGAUAGUUCAGACUGCGGCGAGGGAUAUCAAGUUUUUGCAACGCGGGAUUAUUAGGGCGUUUAGGCCAGGGCGCUAGGAACCAUAUUCUUAAGACUACUGGAAUUUACAUCAAUGGAGAUGACUGCGGCGUGGGAGACGGAGAUCGGGACUGCAGCGAGGGAUCGAGGUUCUGGACAGCGGCGCGGGAUUCUUAUAAGAUUGGACGGCGGCGUGGGACCUUUUUUGACGGCAGCGUGGGAGUUUAGGACUGCAGCGCGGGAAUUUCUGACGGCGGCGAGGGAUCCUCGGUUUAAUUUUUCGGCAAUUGGUCAGCCAUCGCAUUCCAUAUACAUGCGUGUCACUCCAUUUAUUGAUAGUUCAAAGCUGAUAUACUUAGGUGGCGUGAUCAGCGUAAUCACGCCUCCAAAAAUACGCAUCCCUGAUUAUCCCUUAUAUGGAAAAUCUUCAUUGAAUAUACAUUUAUUUACACUUCUGGAAUACCGGAAAGCAACCCCAAUACUUAUGCCGAUGAUUCUAAUACAUGAAACGAUUUAAGAUCACAAUAAAUUGAUUUUUGAAAAG